AAUUCGACGCAACGCGCAGAACCUUACCUGGUCUUGACAUCUCGGGAAUCAUUUGGAAACAUAUGAGUGCCUCGCAAGAGGAGCCCGAUGACAGGUGCUGCAUGGCUGUCGUCAGCUCGUGUCGUGAGAUGUUGGGUUAAGUCCCGCAACGAGCGCAACCCUUGUCUUUAGUUGCCAUCAUUAAGUUGGGCACUCUAAAGAGACUGCCGGUGUCAAACCGGAGGAAGGUGGGGAUGACGUCAAGUCCUCAUGGCCUUUAUGACCAGGGCUACACACGUACUACAAUGGCAGGUACAAAGGGCAGCCACUUAGCGAUAAGGCGCGAAUCCCAUAAAACCUGUCUCAGUCCGGAUUGGAGUCUGCAACUCGACUCCAUGAAGUUGGAAUCGCUAGUAAUCGCAGAUCAGCACGCUGCGGUGAAUACGUUCCCGGGCCUU
Molecule: ribosomal RNA, 437 nt
Filed under: uncultured Desulfocapsa sp.
Lineage: Bacteria; Pseudomonadati; Thermodesulfobacteriota; Desulfobulbia; Desulfobulbales; Desulfocapsaceae
Description: bacterial SSU rRNA
Rfam family: Bacterial small subunit ribosomal RNA
Source: RNAcentral